UACGUAGGGACCAAGCGUUGUUCGGAUUUACUGGGCGUAAAGGGCGCGUAGGCGGCGCGGUAAGUCACUUGUGAAAUCUCUGAGCUUAACUCAGAACGGCCAAGUGAUACUGCAGUGCUAGAGUGUGGAAGGGGCAAUCGGAAUUCUUGGUGUAGCGGUGAAAUGCGUAGAUAUCAGGAGGAACACCGAUGGCGAAGGCAGCCCCCUGGGCCAACACUGACGCUCAGGCACGAAAGCGUGGGGAGCAAACAGG
RNAcentral lists this ribosomal RNA (253 nucleotides) under uncultured bacterium. Its description in RNAcentral is "partial 16S ribosomal RNA". It matches the Rfam family "Bacterial small subunit ribosomal RNA", at positions 524 to 776 of the family's 1533-position model. The record is from RNAcentral.